AAAAAAAAAAAGUUAUUGAAGUACACGGUGCUAAUUUUAACCUUAAUUAAUAAAUUUAACAACAAAUACAUUUUUGCCAUCUAUAAAUGAGGCACAUGGAUAAAUAGCCCAUAUAAUAGCUACACAAAGUCCUUAAUUAAAAUUACAAAAGCUUCAUUAAAUAUCCGCCAAUUAAAAUUACGUACACACCUCAAACUACACAUACACUCUACCUAGCCCACCUA
RNAcentral lists this long non-coding RNA (224 nucleotides) under Trifolium pratense (red clover). RNAcentral describes it as "long non-coding RNA (TPRA_LNC008764)". The record is from RNAcentral. Lineage: Eukaryota; Viridiplantae; Streptophyta; Magnoliopsida; Fabales; Fabaceae.